GUGCGUGCCCCCGGAGCCGGGGAGGGGAAGGCGCUGAGCGCGGGGCCCCGCUCCGGAGCGCGGGGGGCGUGCGGAACCUGCGCGGGGCGGUGGCGGGGAGAGAGCAGCGGCGGCUUUGCUGGGCAGCGAGUGCGGAAAGCGGCACAGGCUGUGCCAUCGCCGAGAGCCGAGCGGGCCGGGAGCACACGGGCAGACACGGGAACUCGGCAAAUCCAGGCCGGGUCCUCAAGACCGGGAUGCAGUUUCUUGGAAAGGAGAGUAACAUGGGUGUUGUGGUCGAAAGCGGUCGUUCCAAAACAGUAGAUUUAAAGCACAAGAACUGCCUCUUAACAAAACUCAUGAACAUGCAAACACCUCUUUUUCUGAUGCUUAACUAAGGUGUGGCCUUAAAGCAUGCUGGCAGUUGUGGAAGCUCCACGGGUUUGUUUUUUACCCCCCUUAAAAAAUAACUCUUACCUUUUCCACAGAGCAGCGUGGGUGCGGUGGGGGCAGUCACCGCGGGCUGUCUGUGCUGCACUCACACCCUGCCUUUCCUUGCAGGAACUUGUUCUCCAUGCACUGAGCCCAGUCCUGUUACUGGGAGCUCUGCUUGCUGUUUUCAUUUCACUCUGCAGAGCUGGAGACUUAAAUUAUGUACAGGUCAAUGCUAGGACAUUUUCGUGGAGCUUACUCAUUUGAAGUUUUUUAACUUCUCAAUGUGCCAAGACACUUAUGUCCUUAUGGUGUUUAUUUAUUAAAAAUAACUAUCUUGCUUAUGCCAGCAGCUGCUGUAAAAAUGCAGUUUGCUGCUUUUUACAUAAUAUGGUGUUAAAUGUAACUUUUGCUAUUUAAUAUUUGAAAAAUAAUGUUCAGUUAAUCAUGGCAGAGUAAUUGAAUAUAAUAUUUGUAUGUAAUAUUGUCAUUACUGCAUAAUCUGGACUUUAAUGUCAGGAUGAUGAAAACUUGAGUUAGCACAGUUAACUCCCGACCAAGGAAGAGUAUUGGCUGUGUGGGUUCAUGUAUUGUACAAGAAAUGUGCUUAGGCAAUUUUGCCAUUUUAUAUCUUUGUUUGCCACCUUAUGCUGGAAGAACACAAACCCUACUGUUUGCUUACUUCUUCCUUUUGAUGUCAGCUCGUUAUUGUAGGCUUUUCUAUCACUUGCUGCACGGCUUUGCCUGGGACAGUGGUUUUCAGUUUUUUAAUGGGUCUGUGAGUUGAGUGGCCGGUGAGAGAUUCUUGAAAUGUUACAAAACCGAGCCUGCAAUGACUUGUCCGGGGGCAGCUGUAAGAACCAGUGGCCAGCAGUGCCUUCAACAAUUCGGGAUUUGAUUUAACCUUUGUGACAGAUGGGAAGUUCUGUGAAAUAUAUAGGAACAGUUUAUUCUAUUUCGCUACCCCUAAACUGUGGUUCAGCAAGAAGAAGUCCCAGUGACAUUAGGUUUUUCAGCCUUUUGAGUGAUUUCCAGUCGGAGGAUCAGAACAGGAAUUCAAUAUUCUGUGGGACCCCCAGAGCAGGCGGGUCCCUCCCCCGGCAGGCGAAGGACGGGCACUGCAGCACAGCUGAGCCUCUUCAGGAGCAACCUACACGGAUCACACGGCUCAGGGCAGCACUCGUGACACGGCACUCGGACAAUGAACUUAAUGUUUCAGAAUCAUUCUGAUAGUAACUUAUGGAGCACUGACACAAAAGAAGCCAAUACAGAAGACGAAGAAGAGAUGCAAGUUUGGGCUACUGGGAGGUUCCUGUAUCUGCUUGGAAUUAUCAUGGCUCUGUUACAGAGAUUGACUUGACCCAGGCAGAGGCCAGAAUUCAAGAAGUGGCACACUUUUAAACAACCAUUAACAGGUCCUUGGCUUCGCCCUCCCCUGUUCAUCACUAAUGCUCUAAUGCUGCAAGAGGCACCACUUCCCAGUGCUGUCACCUGAGACACCUUCAGCCUCAGAGUGACCCAACUGCAGCAGAAGGAUGUCACCUCAAAGAAUUAUCUACUGGGCUCCCAUAUUAUUCAGUACUACAAGCCAGGGCCAGAGGCUAUUAAUACGGUGUAUGCAAAAUUUGGGUACACUUCCAGUCCCUUUCCCAUGGGAAUGCUCUUUGAAAUGUCAGCCUGAAGUGCUUUUACAACAGUGAAAGUCAGCCUGUUUUAACUAGUGUUAAUAAACUCAUCCAUAUUAUUACUGCAGUUGCAUUAAAUAUUGAAAAAAAAAAAACCAAGCAACCGCCUGAAGUGACAGUUGUGAAUGAACUGGGGGAAACUACUUCACCUGGAACUACAGGAAGUGCUGGUGUGAGCUAGAUGGCCAAAGUCCAUCAAAAAGGAGAAGCUGGACUCCUUUGAAAAUUUCUAUUUAAAAUUCCCCCAUAUGGAAGAAAAAUGUCUUUAAACAGUGCAUAAGAUAUAUUUUCAAGCCAGUGAAUAUUUAAGAAUCUUUAAACACAACCCCAAGGUAAAACACUAAACAUUUUCCUGUUAGAGUUGAUGUAUACAGAGCUGAAGACAGAUGCUGAAGAAGCAGCUGCUGUGAAUUUUGAACAGCAGCAGCAGUCUGCAAUCAUUGGCCAUUCCUUAUCCUCCAGUUUAUUCCCCACAGCAAGCAGGAGCUGCUUUC
Vidua macroura (Pin-tailed whydah) is the source of this 2590-nucleotide long non-coding RNA. RefSeq lists it as uncharacterized. NCBI's taxonomy places the organism in Eukaryota, Metazoa, Chordata, Aves, Passeriformes, Viduidae. The record is from RefSeq and is a predicted model, not a curated record. The transcript has 7 exons.